This 253-nucleotide ribosomal RNA is filed under the name uncultured bacterium. RNAcentral describes it as "partial 16S ribosomal RNA". It matches the Rfam family "Bacterial small subunit ribosomal RNA", at positions 524 to 776 of the family's 1533-position model. The record is from RNAcentral.
UACAUGGGGUGCAAACGUUGCUCGGAAUUAUUGGGCGUAAAGCGCACGUAGGCGGUUCGUUAAGUCGGAUGUGAAAGCCCUCGGCUCAACUGAGGAAGUGCACCCGAAACUGGCGAGCUUGAGUACGAAAGAGGAUCGCGGAAUUCCCGGUGUAGAGGUGAAAUUCGCAGAUAUCGGGAGGAACACCGGUGGCGAAGGCGGCGAUCUGGGCAGUGGCUGACGCUGAGGCGCGACAGCGUGGGGAGCAAACAGG